This 380-nucleotide ribosomal RNA is filed under the name uncultured eukaryote. RNAcentral's name for it is "partial 18S ribosomal RNA". It matches the Rfam family "Eukaryotic small subunit ribosomal RNA", at positions 592 to 976 of the family's 1831-position model. The record is from RNAcentral.
CAAUAGCGUAUAUUAAAGUUGUUGCAGUUAAAAAGCUCGUAGUUGGAUCUGUGGUGUGCGGUGGGCUCCGGGCACUUGUUGUCUGAGUAGCUCGCCGCUGCCAUCCUUGGGUGGAACCUGUGUGGCAUUAGGUUGUCGUGCAGGGGAUGCCCAUCGUUUACUGUGAAAAAAUUAGAGUGUUCAAAGCAGGCUUAUGCCGUUGAAUAUAUUAGCAUGGAAUAAUGAGAUAGGACUUUUUCGCUAUCUUGUUGGUUUGCGCGAAGAGGUAAUGAUUAAUAGGGACAGUUGGGGGUAUUCGUAUUCCAUUGUCAGAGGUGAAAUUCUUGGAUUUUUGGAAGACGAGCUACUGCGAAAGCAUUUACCAAGGAUGUUUUCAUUAA